GCCGUGGUCAACGAUGUCGACCGUCCUCCUAACUAAAGCGGGUGUCGGCAGUUCGAUUCUGCCCGGGGGCACCA
This 74-nucleotide transfer RNA is filed under the name Sporichthya sp. Its description in RNAcentral is "tRNA-OTHER". The record is from RNAcentral. Lineage: Bacteria; Bacillati; Actinomycetota; Actinomycetes; Sporichthyales; Sporichthyaceae.